AGAGCGGAGGCUCGGGCUGCGGACGGGGCUGCGCGCACUCGCACCGCUGGACGCCGCGGGGCGGGCGGCCGCCGAGCUCUCCCCGCCCGGCCCAGCCCCUCCGCCGCAGCCGCGGGGCAGCCCCGAGCCACGGCCCCGGCUGGCGGGCGGGCUGCGGGCAGGAUCCUGGCGCUCGGGCUCUGGCAAGGGGAAAGGACAGAAACGGCGCAUCGGGAGGGACCCUGCCUCACCGCUUGUAUAUGGCAAAGUUUCUCGCCGAGCUCCUGGGCUGCACGUUGCCGAGCAAGGGCGCCUCUCCCAUGUUUGAGUCUAAAAGUCAUUCCCGAGUUGGCCUGAAAUCAAGCACCAAGCAAAAGACCACCAUUUUCAGCACAUUGGCCAGUGAGAAGUCCUUAUCUGACUGCAAAAAGGAACACCGACUGGCAUUCGACUCUUGACAAAUCCUCAGCGAGUGACUUUUACAUGAGGAAGGGACUAGGG
RNAcentral lists this long non-coding RNA (480 nucleotides) under Homo sapiens (human). Its description in RNAcentral is "HSALNT0320606". The record is from RNAcentral. Lineage: Eukaryota; Metazoa; Chordata; Mammalia; Primates; Hominidae.